UACGAAGGGGGCUAGCGUUGUUCGGAAUCACUGGGCGUAAAGCGCACGUAGGCGGCUUGCUAAGUCAGGGGUGAAAUCCUGGAGCGCAACUCCAGAACUGCCUCUGAUACUGGUGAUCUUGAGUCCGGGAGAGGUGAGUGGAACUGCGAGUGUAGAGGUGAAAUUCGUAGAUAUUCGCAAGAACACCAGUGGCGAAGGCGGCUCACUGGCCCGGUACUGACGCUGAGGCGCGAAAGCUAGGGGAGCAAACGGG
Molecule: ribosomal RNA, 253 nt
Filed under: uncultured bacterium
Lineage: Bacteria
Description: partial 16S ribosomal RNA
Rfam family: Bacterial small subunit ribosomal RNA
Source: RNAcentral